UUAUAUUCUCCACAGGGGGGGAUGAGAACCCCCGACCGGGGUUCGACAACUGGCGCAGCCAGUUGGACAGACUGCGAGCCUGCGAGCGGGCUGCCCCGCAGGGGCGAGCGAAGCGAGUCAAUCCCCCCCUAACCGCCA
This 138-nucleotide small RNA is filed under the name Klebsiella pneumoniae. RNAcentral describes it as "RtT sRNA". It matches the Rfam family "RtT RNA". From Rfam's summary of the family: This family represents a bacterial cis-regulatory element known as RtT RNA. The exact function of RtT is unknown although it is thought that it may be involved in changing the cellular response in relation to amino acid starvation. The record is from RNAcentral. RNAcentral also lists the same sequence under 1 other name. Lineage: Bacteria; Pseudomonadati; Pseudomonadota; Gammaproteobacteria; Enterobacterales; Enterobacteriaceae.